Dromaius novaehollandiae (emu) is the source of this 412-nucleotide long non-coding RNA. RefSeq lists it as uncharacterized. The record is from RefSeq and is a predicted model, not a curated record. NCBI's taxonomy places the organism in Eukaryota, Metazoa, Chordata, Aves, Casuariiformes, Dromaiidae. The transcript has 4 exons.
GCAUGGUUACGUCUCUGUGCCAGCAGAAGAAGCUCUCGGAGUGCUGUUUAGAGCACCGCAGCUGGAAGCUGCAUUUGAAUGUGGAUCCUGUUUGUGCUGCAUUCCCCACGUUUUGAUGGAAAACAGGAAAAAGCAUGAAAGAAAAGUCAGUGAAGGGAGUAGAACACAGGAUUCACAGAAGGCAAGAAAAAAAUUCACAGGCCAGAACUCCAGGAAUCUGAAGUCUCUGAAACUGAACUGUGUACAACAGUGCUAUUCUUCACUUGGAAGAUGUCCCUUUUCCUUCAUGUAUACUGCACAAAACUCAAUAAUAUUUAAAGAUUUGAAGAUAAUUGGAGCAAAGGUUCAGGAAGAAAAGUGAAAAAAGAGACAAAUCCUACAAAGGAAGGUCAUAUUUACAAAUGCUUAGUAU